UCAUGAUUACAAUAUGAAUGGGAAAAUGUCCUCCAUUCCUAAAAAAAUUUCACUACCUUCACUAAGUUUUUCAUAUAGUAGCAUAGAUGAGUGUUCUGUUUGUAGGUUUGGACACGCCCACUAUUCCCUUGUUUUAUGUGAACCCCAACAGGAACUAACUAUAUAAGUGUAGGUUUAUACAUAAAAUGAUUACAGUGGUAUAUGAAUUAUUUUAAGUAAUGAAUUAAAAAUUAACCAUAUAGAGGUCAAGAUAGAAUAUUAUAUAUAGAGGCACAAAUAUUUUAUCCAAAUCAUAACAUAAAUAAGAUUGAUAGUUGUAUAUGCAGUUCUGAUUUUUACUAUUUAUAUUGAUUUUAUGUAAUGUUUUAAGUGUUUUAAAUAUACAACGAGAUACGUAAAACAUCUUGCUAUUACCCUAUAUGAUCUUCUAUAAUCAGAGGUUGAAUCGAUCAUCAGAAGAAGAAUUAGGCCAAAAAUUAGGAUACAUUCUGGGAAAAUGAAACUAGAAUCGUUGAAGGAGAGAAAGAUCUCUUGUUCUUAUUAGAUUAGAAGAUCGUAAUUUGAUCCGCAUAUGUUUGGUAAAAAGAAUAAUCUUCUCCUUUGAUCAUAAAUGGAAAGUGUUCAAUUGGAACAUGUAAAC
Molecule: long non-coding RNA, 640 nt
Organism: Asparagus officinalis (garden asparagus)
Lineage: Eukaryota; Viridiplantae; Streptophyta; Magnoliopsida; Asparagales; Asparagaceae
Exons: 3
Source: RefSeq, a predicted model, not a curated record